RNAcentral lists this ribosomal RNA (497 nucleotides) under uncultured bacterium. Its description in RNAcentral is "partial 16S ribosomal RNA". It matches the Rfam family "Bacterial small subunit ribosomal RNA", at positions 28 to 507 of the family's 1533-position model. The record is from RNAcentral.
GAUGAACGCUGGCGGCGUGCCUAAUACAUGCAAGUCGAGCGAACAGAUGAGGAGCUUGCUCCUCUGACGUUAGCGGCGGACGGGUGAGUAACACGUGGAUAACCUACCUAUAAGACUGGGAUAACUUCGGGAAACCGGAGCUAAUACCGGAUAAUAUAUUGAACCGCAUGGUUCAAUAGUUAAAGACGGUUUUGCUGUCACUUAUAGAUGGAUCUGCGCCGCAUUAGCUAGUUGGUAAGGUAACGGCUUACCAAGGCAACGAUGCGUAGCCGACCUGAGAGGGUGAUCGGCCACACUGGAACUGAGACACGGUCCAGACUCCUACGGGAGGCAGCAGUAGGGAAUCUUACGCAAUGGGGGAAAGCCUGACGGAGCAACGCCGCGUGAGUGAUGAAGGUCUUCGGAUCGGAAAACUCUGUUAUUAGGGAAGAACAAAUGUGUAAGUAACUAUGCACGUCUUGACGGUACCUAAUCAGAAAGCCACGGCUAACUACGUG